AGUGAACGCUGGCGGUAGGCCUAACACAUGCAAGUCGAACGGCCGCACAGUAAGAGCUUGCUCUUACGGGUGGCGAGUGGCGGACGGGUGAGGAAUACAUCGGAAUCUACUUUUUCGUGGGGGAUAACGUAGGGAAACUUACGCUAAUACCGCAUACGACCUACGGGUGAAAGCAGGGGAUCUUCGGACCUUGCGCGAUUGUAUGAGCCGAUGUCGGAUUAGCUAGUUGGCGAGGUAAAGGCCCACCAAGGCGACGAUCCGUAGCUGGUCUGAGAGGAUGAUCAGCCACACUGGAACUGAGACACGGUCCAGACUCCUACGGGAGGCAGCAGUGGGGAAUAUUGGACAAUGGGCGCAAGCCUGAUCCAGCCAUACCGCGUGGGUGAAGAAGGCCUUCGGGUUGUAAAGCCCUUUUGUUGGGAAAGAAAAGCAGCAGGUUAAUACCCCGCUGUUCUGACGGUACCCAAAGAAUAAGCACCGGCUAACUUCGUG
This 492-nucleotide ribosomal RNA is filed under the name uncultured bacterium. Its description in RNAcentral is "partial 16S ribosomal RNA". It matches the Rfam family "Bacterial small subunit ribosomal RNA", at positions 29 to 507 of the family's 1533-position model. The record is from RNAcentral.